CCAGACUCCUACGGGAGGCAGCAGUGGGGAAUAUUGCACAAUGGGCGCAAGCCUGAUGCAGCCAUGCCGCGUGUAUGAAGAAGGCCUUCGGGUUGUAAAGUACUUUCAGUCGGGAGGAAGGUGUCAAGGUUAAUAACCUUGGCAAUUGACGUUACCGACAGAAGAAGCACCGGCUAACUCCGUGCCAGCAGCCGCGGUAAUACGGAGGGUGCAAGCGUUAAUCGGAAUUACUGGGCGUAAAGCGCACGCAGGCGGUCUGUCAAGUCGGAUGUGAAAUCCCCGGGCUCAACCUGGGAACUGCAUUCGAAACUGGCAGGCUGGAGUCUUGUAGAGGGGGGUAGAAUUCCAGGUGUAGCGGUGAAAUGCGUAGAGAUCUGGAGGAAUACCGGUGGCGAAGGCGGCCCCCUGGACAAAGACUGACGCUCAGGGGCGAAAGCGUGGGGAGCAAACAGGAUUAGAUACCCCAGUAGAU
RNAcentral lists this ribosomal RNA (472 nucleotides) under uncultured bacterium. RNAcentral describes it as "bacterial SSU rRNA". It matches the Rfam family "Bacterial small subunit ribosomal RNA", at positions 331 to 795 of the family's 1533-position model. The record is from RNAcentral.